GACGAACGCUGGCGGCGUGCUUAACACAUGCAAGUCGAACGGAAAGGCCUCUUUCGGGGGGUACUCGAGUGGCGAACGGGUGAGUAACACGUGAGUAACCUGCCCUUGACUUUGGGAUAACUUCAGGAAACUGGGGCUAAUACCGGAUAGGAGCUCCUGCUGCAUGGUGGGGGUUGGAAAGUUUCGGCGGUUGGGGAUGGACUCGCGGCUUAUCAGCUUGUUGGUGGGGUAGUGGCUUACCAAGGCUUUGACGGGUAGCCGGCCUGAGAGGGUGACCGGCCACAUUGGGACUGAGAUACGGCCCAGACUCCUACGGGAGGCAGCAGGGGGGAAUAUUGCACAAGGGGUGGAAGCCUGAUGCAGCAACGCCGGGUGCGGGAUGACGGCCUUCGGGUUGUAAACCGCUUUCGCUCAUGACGAAGCUUUGUGUGACGGUAGUGGGUAAAGAAGCACCGGCUAACUACGUG
This 467-nucleotide ribosomal RNA is filed under the name uncultured bacterium. Its description in RNAcentral is "partial 16S ribosomal RNA". It matches the Rfam family "Bacterial small subunit ribosomal RNA", at positions 28 to 507 of the family's 1533-position model. The record is from RNAcentral.